RNAcentral lists this non-coding RNA (24 nucleotides) under Arabidopsis thaliana (thale cress). Lineage: Eukaryota; Viridiplantae; Streptophyta; Magnoliopsida; Brassicales; Brassicaceae. The record is from RNAcentral.
CACGGGUAGUUCUGGAUUAUAUGG